Molecule: ribosomal RNA, 410 nt
Filed under: Verrucomicrobiota bacterium
Lineage: Bacteria; Pseudomonadati; Verrucomicrobiota
Description: Verrucomicrobia bacterium partial 16S ribosomal RNA
Rfam family: Bacterial small subunit ribosomal RNA
Source: RNAcentral
UGGGGAAUCUUGCACAAUGGGCGAAAGACUGAUGCAGCGACGCCGCGUGCGGGAUGAAGGCCUUCGGGUUGUAAACCGCUUUCAGCAGGGACGAGGCCGCAAGGUGACGGUACCUGCAGAAGAAGCCCCGGCUAACUACGUGCCAGCAGCCGCGGUAAUACGUAGGGGGCAAGCGUUAUCCGGAUUCAUUGGGCGUAAAGCGCGCGUAGGCGGUUUGUUAGGUCAGGAGUUAAAUCUGGGGGCUCAACCCCUAUCCGCUCCUGAUACCGGCAGGCUUGAGUCUGGUAGGGGAAGGAGGAAUUCCAAGUGUAGCGGUGAAAUGCGCAGAUAUUUGGAAGAACACCGGUGGCGAAGGCGGCCUUCUGGGCCACGACUGACGCUGAGGCGCGAAAGCUAGGGGAGCGAACAGG